CCUGCCAAGUUUGCAAGAACGACAGAAAUGGCUACACCCAAAACGAAACUUAAUCAAAGGUGAUGUCGUUUUGAUGGUGAUGGAAGAUACUCCCAGAGGUGAAUGGCCUCUAGCGAUAGUUGAAGAAACAUUUCCCGAUAGCAACGGACAUGUUCGGCAAGUAGAGAUCCGCACGGCGAAUCAAAGUCGUUAUCGUCGAGAUGUCAGGAAGUUGUGCCUAUUGGAGACUGCGAAGUAAAGCGAGAAAUUCUUCAGAAAACGAACGUUAUUGUUGUUGUCACUUAACUGUUAUUAUUAUUUUGUUUACGUUAAACGACGGUAUCUAUUGGUUUAUGUUUGGUUAUUCGACAAGAUUGGUGGACACAUUGUUUAAAACUUGCGCAAGUUAACAUUGAAAACAUUUGUAUUGUAGCUCUCGAUCCUUUUUGAAUUAUUGAACGACGUAUAGUAGGUCGUUCGGGGCUGGUAUGUAGGAUCGAGAUGCAUAGAGCUUAGGUUAUGCUAAUUAUUAUGCUAAUUAUUAUAAACAAAAAGGGACCCGUAUAAAAGCAUGGUUCUUGGGGUCUUUUGAGAUUGAGCACAAUUCAUGUAUAGUGGUGUAUUUUUUGUACAUGGAUGUUUAUAUUUAGUGGCCAAAUUACGAGAACCGUACGUUUGACGCAUUGCAUUGAAAUAAAGACUUAUCUGUA
Long non-coding RNA from Xenia sp. Carnegie-2017, 689 nucleotides. RefSeq lists it as uncharacterized. NCBI's taxonomy places the organism in Eukaryota, Metazoa, Cnidaria, Anthozoa, Malacalcyonacea, Xeniidae. The record is from RefSeq and is a predicted model, not a curated record. The transcript is spliced from 2 exons.